RNAcentral lists this ribosomal RNA (255 nucleotides) under uncultured bacterium. RNAcentral's name for it is "partial 16S ribosomal RNA". It matches the Rfam family "Bacterial small subunit ribosomal RNA", at positions 524 to 776 of the family's 1533-position model. The record is from RNAcentral.
UACGUAGGGUGCGAGCGUUGUCCGGAAUUACUGGGCGUAAAGGGCUCGUAGGCGGUUUGUCGCGUCGGGAGUGAAAACUCAGGGCUUAACCCCUGAGCCUGCUUCCGAUACGGGCAGACUAGAGGUAUGCAGGGGGAGAACGGAAUUCCUGGUGUAGCGGUGAAAUGCGCAGAUAUCAGGAGGAACACCGGUGGCGAAGGCGGUUCUCUGGGCAUUACCUGACGCUGAGGAGCGAAAGUGUGGGGAGCGAACAGG